CUUUUCCUGUUCUGGAGCUCAGGUUUAAUAUUUUUGUAACUUUCCCAGCUCUCAUUCUCCUUUUUAUGUAAGAGCUUGUUUGAUUCAAUUCCACAACACAAAAUUUUGUGGAAUUCUUUUUGAUAAAUUUGAUUGUUAAGACAUGCUAGUUGACAGAGGCUCACAGUCCAUAUCACUAUCUUACUCGAUUUGAAGUUUCAGGAAUAGCUGACAAUGAAGGUUGGGAUUUUCUUAAUUUUCAUCUUCAAAAUUUUCUCGGCAAUCAAACGCACCUCUGGUUUUCAGUACGUCAGUUAGGAAGAAGUAGAAAGAGAUGCUGCUGGGAUUUCAAAAAAUGAGCUAUGUUUAAGGGUACGUUUUACAAGGAUAAAUUGGUCUUUUUGUAGCAUUUAUGAAGCCGUGGCGACAGCAAAAAUGGCCGUGGCAAUAGUCACCCUAAAAAUAUUUAUAUUCCGGGAAAAUUUAUCUUGCCCACUUGAUCAUCAUCGCCAUCUUCUCUUCAGCCUCAGCUAAAAUAGAAAUUUUCCUCUGUCUUCUCUCUGUUAGAGCUUUGGAGUUGUUUUCCAUUUUGUGUUUCUACAAAAUUUUAAGAGCGGUCGGUAGUAAAAAUCAAAUUCUAGGGUUUGGAUUCGAUUGGAUUGGAUCUUCUCAUCGUAAAUUGAUAUUAUUAUAGUGCGGUGAACGAGAUUGGUACAGAGAGGCAGACGAAUGAGUGUCGUUUCUGACGAGAUGUUGUUUUACUUAUCGUCAGCUAAUCUUGAGUUGUCCUUUUUGUUAUGGGAGCCUGCCUCAUUCAUAUUUGUUUCCUUUUAAAUCAAGAGGAAGGUAUUCCAGCUUCUGAUAUCUGUUGAUAAGGGAAGGCUUAUUUUCUGCCAUGCCUUCUCUACAAUUGUUGCAACUAACUGAGCAUGGUCGAAGCCUCUUGGCUUCAAGAAGGAAAUCUCUAUUGUUUGCUGGUGGUAUCUUAGUUUUGGCGGGACUGCUGCAUAUGUGAAGUCACGGCAUGGCUGUAAAAAGUUUGAUUCUAUUGAUCACUACAAUGGGCUUAGGGGUGAUAAUGACAAAUCAGACAAGCAGGUUGCGAAAGAAGCUAAGAAAAUUAUUCAGAAAAAAGGAAGUUUGAAAUCACUCCAUGUUCUAGCUUCUGUUCUUUUGUCUGAGAUGGGCAAAAGGGGCACAAGGGAUCUUUUGGCUAUGAUAGCUAUAGCAGUGUUGAGAACUGCUUUGAGCAACAGAUUAGCAAAAGUACAGGGAUUUCUAUUCCGUGCUGCUUUUCUCCGACGCGUGCCAUUAUUUUUCGGUUGAUAUCUGAAAAUAUCUUAUUAUGUUUUCUUCUAUCCA
Long non-coding RNA from Hevea brasiliensis (rubber tree), 1341 nucleotides. RefSeq lists it as uncharacterized. NCBI's taxonomy places the organism in Eukaryota, Viridiplantae, Streptophyta, Magnoliopsida, Malpighiales, Euphorbiaceae. The record is from RefSeq and is a predicted model, not a curated record. The transcript has 6 exons.